GAUGGACGCUAGCGGCAGGCCUAACACAUGCAAGUCGAGGGAGAGGUUACCUUCGGGUAACCAAAACCGGCGCACGGGUGCGUAACGCGUAUACAAUCUGCCUUUCACAUAGGGAUAGCCCGAAGAAAUUUGGAUUAAUACCUAAUGGUAUAUAAGAGCGGCAUCGUUUUUAUAUUAAAGCUACGGUGGUGAAAGAUGAGUAUGCGUUCUAUUAGCUAGUUGGAGAGGUAACGGCUCCCCAAGGCGACGAUAGAUAGGGGUUCUGAGAGGGAUGUCCCCCACACUGGUACUGAGAUACGGACCAGACUCCUACGGGAGGCAGCAGUGAGGAAUAUUGGACAAUGGUCGGAAGACUGAUCCAGCCAUGCCGCGUGCAGGAUGAAGGUCCUAUGGAUUGUAAACUGCUUUUGUAAGGGAAGAAUAAGGAGUACGUGUACUUUGAUGACGGUACCUUACGAAUAAGCAUCGGCUAACUCCGUG
This 480-nucleotide ribosomal RNA is filed under the name uncultured bacterium. RNAcentral's name for it is "partial 16S ribosomal RNA". It matches the Rfam family "Bacterial small subunit ribosomal RNA", at positions 28 to 507 of the family's 1533-position model. The record is from RNAcentral.